This is a long non-coding RNA of Alligator mississippiensis (American alligator), 2081 nucleotides long. RefSeq lists it as uncharacterized. The record is from RefSeq and is a predicted model, not a curated record. The transcript has 3 exons. NCBI's taxonomy places the organism in Eukaryota, Metazoa, Chordata, Crocodylia, Alligatoridae.
AACGAGACCUGGAGGACUUGGCCUUGCGCAACGAGCGUGACCGUUGACUGAUCCAUGGCAGGGCACCCCGAUGCGUUAUCGCAGCCUCCUGCCGGGGGACGCACCCGUAACAGGAUAGCCUGGGAUUACUCGCUGCCUCCAGGAGGGAGAGGAGUGGGUUCUGUUGGAGAACAGCGGCCGGAAGACAGGCUCGCUUGGCAGGGAUCCACAUUUCAGAUGGGCGCGUGCCAAGAAACCCUGAUCAUGUCAUCCAGCAUGGGAGGGGGGGGACGGCUGGGGGAAGAAAAAGCCUAAUUGAAAACAUUUGCUCACCAGAGCGACGGAUCUCAGCGAAUGCAAGCAGAUUUAGCCUCCGUGCCAGGUACUUCGAGAUGCACCUGGCAGCCCGUCAAUAUGCCGGGCCUCAUUUGAGGCUUGCAAUUUGCAAGUCGGCAAGGAAGAAAAUGCAGGCUUGAAAUGUAGGUUGGGUAGCUGCUGGCUCUGCCCCAGAUUGCCAGCACUUCUGUGGGCAAGCAGCCUCAUCUCCCUCCAAUUGGGACAAACGAUGCUUGAUUAUCUUGACCAGGUGGGACUGUGAAGAUAAAUUUGUUAAUAAUUGGAGUGGGGGUGGUCUCAACCCUUUCAGUGCUGGAGCUGUAUAGGUACCUAGGUAGAGAAAGGGAAGCUCUUUGAAGCAUUUCAGUUUUCACUGCUUGGAUCAGUCUCCAGGCCUUUCAUUUUCAGGUGUAAUUUCAUGUGGUUUGCUGCAUUCAGACUGCAAAAUGCACGUAGCUGAAACGGAUUGGAUGAAACAGCAUCAUCUCCCUACAGACAUCAAAGGAGCUAGGCAAAUAUUUUUCCAGAGUCCUUUACCUUCACCACACUGAAGCAGCGCCGGAUGCAGUGAGCGCUGCCCUCUCCCUGUCUUCACCACCAGUCAAGUAGGUGGCCUUCUGACUUCAGCUACACCAACCUUCGCCGGCAGAGACCACAUUUAUAAGUCAAGCCCAAAAUCUUCAGAAGAAAGGUGACUAAAACAGCCCCGUUCCACAAAGGACUGACAGCUUUUUGAGCACACGCGAGAGGUCGUCAGCAGCAGUUGCUCGACUGUGGAGCAAACACCCGUUGCAGUCCUACCACUGGGACAGUGCCCCUGUCUUCCUGGAAAAGAACAGUACUAAUUGUGGAUGAAUGGAUGAUAUGGGGGUUGUUCACAACAGAUAUAACAAGCAUUAGCGCAAGGGGGUGGGCGAGGAUUUAUAGACAGUGUUACUUUCCUCUCUGAGGCUGAACCCUGAAAGAAGAGAGUGUUUUUUUCUGGCUAGUAAGUAAGCAUUGGAGCACCAGGUUUGAGCUAACAUAUGCAUGUACAGGGGAAAAGAAUGACACAUCAGUAUAUCUUGUAUCACACAUCAGACCUUCAGAGCCAUAGUUAUGAAAGAACAAUAGCUCUAGGCAUCUGGAUGGGAGGCAGCAUCGUUCCCUGAAGAUCUCUGGUUAGAGCUCAGCAGUACAUAACCUGGCUCCCAGCGUAGGCUCUUCCAUGCUGGGCAUCUGCAAUGAGAGCAGCUUGCAUGGGCCCUGUCCUGGGCAAGGAGGUUUCAGUGCAGGUUCUCUUCUCCCCCGGUCUUUGCCAAGCCUGUGAUGAACUUCUGCCUGGCAAGUAGCAGGGCACAUCUGUUCAGAAAGCCAAGCCCUUGCACCUAAACCAGUUUUUUGCGGGAGCUUGAACAAACUGCCCUUCUCGGCCCCCCAGCCAGCUGCUGGCCCAGACGGCACCCGGCCCGGGGGUAGGCCACUGGCAACUCCGACUGCAAAGCUGAGAACGACGGGUGUAUUGGAAUUAAUAGGGAUACAGGGCUUAUGUAUCAGAGAGGUGAGGGAUUUCCCCCCCAUCACAGACUGAUUGCUGACGGCAGAGGAGAGGACAUGCCAUCAUGUUGUUUAGUGCUUUCAAUGCCUCCGCAGCAGCUGCACUGAGAUGCCCCCCACCUCUUCCUCCCCAGCUCCAUUUUGCCCUCUGGCUCUUAGCCUCAGCCUCUCUCCUGGUAACUAGGCUGGAUGCUAUGUGCAGUGCUGUCAGUCGCAGGUUAGCACAGUGA